This 465-nucleotide ribosomal RNA is filed under the name uncultured bacterium. RNAcentral's name for it is "partial 16S ribosomal RNA". It matches the Rfam family "Bacterial small subunit ribosomal RNA", at positions 28 to 507 of the family's 1533-position model. The record is from RNAcentral.
GACGAACGCUGGCGGCGUGCUUAACACAUGCAAGUCGAACGGAAAGGCCCCCUUGUGGGGUACUCGAGUGGCGAACGGGUGAGUAACACGUGAGUAACCUACCCUUGACUUUGGGAUAACUUCAGGAAACUGGGGCUAAUACCGGAUAGGAGCUCCUGCUGCAUGGUGGGGGUUGGAAAGUUUCGGCGGUUGGGGAUGGACUCGCGGCUUAUCAGCUUGUUGGUGGGGUAGUGGCUCACCAAGGCUUUGACGGGUAGCCGGCCUGAGAGGGUGACCGGCCACAUUGGGACUGAGAUACGGCCCAGACUCCUACGGGAGGCAGCAGUGGGGAAUAUUGCACAAUGGGCGGAAGCCUGAUGCAGCAACGCCGCGUGCGGGAUGACGGCCUUUGGGUUGUAAACCGCUUUCGCCUGUGACGAAGCGUGAGUGACGGUAAUGGGUAAAGAAGCACCGGCUAACUACGUG